Molecule: long non-coding RNA, 217 nt
Filed under: Elaeis guineensis (African oil palm)
Lineage: Eukaryota; Viridiplantae; Streptophyta; Magnoliopsida; Arecales; Arecaceae
Description: long non-coding RNA (EGUI_LNC054724)
Source: RNAcentral
GACUCCAGCCAAAUUUUUCCAACAAAAAAUUUUCGUCUGGGCUUCUACAGCAGAUGACUUCCGUCUACAGCAUCAACGCCUAAAGCACCCAACUACAGUUAACCCAUCAGCAACCUCAGAAAUAUCCGAGCUUCUCUUAGAUUGCUGAGACAGAGAGCUAUUCCGCUCCACCAGACGUCCCAACCGAGCUUCAGCCGUCCGGCCAAAACUCCCCGAC